Long non-coding RNA from Amblyraja radiata (thorny skate), 139 nucleotides. RefSeq lists it as uncharacterized. The transcript is spliced from 4 exons. NCBI's taxonomy places the organism in Eukaryota, Metazoa, Chordata, Chondrichthyes, Rajiformes, Rajidae. The record is from RefSeq and is a predicted model, not a curated record.
CUGCUGAUGAACGCAGCCCCCAGUGAUGCAUGUUGGCAUUGAACUGGCUGACUCCUGUAUAGAGCCGGUUCGGGGCGACCCACUCUUUGCGGGGCAGGUCCGAGCCGGGUGGGGCUUGAAGUGUUGCUCUUGUUAUGGG